Molecule: non-coding RNA, 1142 nt
Organism: Manis javanica (Malayan pangolin)
Lineage: Eukaryota; Metazoa; Chordata; Mammalia; Pholidota; Manidae
Source: RefSeq, a predicted model, not a curated record
GCAAGAUAUGAAAAUGAAGCUGUGCUUUGAUCAUCUGUGGUAUCUUUGCCAACAGUGCUCUGGACAAUUGAUAAUUGGAUAUUCAUCCUUUAAUUCAGUGCUACUUAUUCUCUCUGUCUCUCUCUCCUUACUCUCCAUGAUUUCCAAAGGAGAGUUUCCAUAUUUUGAUGAAUUCAUUACCACUUCCAUUAACACUGGUUAACACAUCAUCCGAGACCUUGACUAUUUAUUUGUUUUCUUCCUUAUUUUUUAAAUGAAACAGAUCUUCAUUACUGUUUAAUUAUCCUUAUUUAUCUUCUUAAAGGCCAGUUUUAAAAAGCAGUUCAAGCAGCUCAGCCACUUUGCCAUCAAUAGCUCAGUCAUUUGAGCAUAAUCAUUAAGCUUAUCUCCUUAUUCAUUUAAUGUGAGGCCUCCUUUAUCUCUGGUUUGCCUUCCUUUCUUUUCUUUAUUAUGUUUGUAUUAUUACCCUUUGCACCACUGAUCACCAUAAAUACUUCUUGGUCGUAACUCUGGAACCUCUUCCAUGAUUCAUGCUAUCGUGUGAGAGUUCUAUAGACAGACUUCAUUUACUCCUUUUUUUCCCUUCUGUUUUUGCACAGUUGUCCUUGCCACUGGAUAUUGCUUCUGUUUUUUCCAGUGAUGUUUAGCUCUGUGGUGAAACCAUUGACCCUGAGGGAAAUACUUGCUCCAGUUUUACAAGGUGAGAAGUGGUACAGAACCACAGGGUGCAGCUAACUGGUCAAGGACUUCCUCAGAUACACCUGCUCCGGCCCCAGGGGAACACACACCAGGCUUCUCAGGAAAGCCAACCCCUGUUCUGCACAGUACAGCCCAAAGGCCAAUGCACCUGAGGAAAGGCAGACGAUCCCUAUUGCCAUCCUAGGCAGUGGGCCUCAAGAGUCAUCACGACACACAGCUCUUCUCAUACUGUGGACCAGCAGCAACCCAACAACCAUAGUUUUGUAUAGCGCCCAAAGAUUUACAGAAGACUCCACACCUUUCACAAGAACCUGGUGAGGAUGCAGCACGACGACUGAGUUACAGCACCUGGAGGAAGUGACCUAGUUUGUACUUAGAGCAAUGACCUCUAAGCCAGACUGUCUGGAUAUGUAGUGCCAGUCCCGCCACUAACCAGAUGUGUG